GGGCGAAAGCCUGACGGAGCAACGCCGCGUGAGUGAUGAAGGUCUUCGGAUCGUAAAACUCUGUUAUUAGGGAAGAACAUGUGUGUAAGUAACUGUGCACAUCUUGACGGUACCUAAUCAGAAAGCCACGGCUAACUAUGUGCCAGCAGCCGCGGUAAUACGUAGGUGGCAAGCGUUAUCCGGAAUUAUUGGGCGUAAAGCGCGCGUAGGCGGUUUUUU
Molecule: ribosomal RNA, 219 nt
Rfam family: Bacterial small subunit ribosomal RNA